RNAcentral lists this ribosomal RNA (424 nucleotides) under uncultured bacterium. Its description in RNAcentral is "bacterial SSU rRNA". It matches the Rfam family "Bacterial small subunit ribosomal RNA", at positions 29 to 454 of the family's 1533-position model. The record is from RNAcentral.
AUUGAACGCUGGCGGCAUGCCUAACACAUGCAAGUCGAACGGCAGCACGGCAGUAGCAAUACUGUGGGUGGCGAGUGGCGGACGGGUGGGGAAUACGUCGGAAUCUGCCCAGUCGUGGGGGAUAACUAGCCGAAAGGUUAGCUAAUACCGCAUACGACCGAGAGGUGAAAGCGGGGGACCGCAAGGCCUCGCGCGAUUGGAUGAGCCGACGUCGGAUUAGCUAGUUGGUGGGUAAAGGCCACCAAGGCGACGAUCCGUAGCUGGUCUGAGAGGAUGAUCAGCCACACUGGAACUGAGACACGGUCCAGACUCCUACGGGAGGCAGCAGUGGGGAAUAUUGGACAAUGGGCGCAAGCCUGAUCCAGCAAUGCCGCGUGUGUGAAGAAGGCCUCGGUUGUAAGNGACUUUAUCUAGACGAAAGACG